GACGAACCGUGCGAACGUUGUUCGGAAUCACUGGGCUUAAAGGGUGCGUAGGCGGCCAUGUAAGUGAGGUGUGAAAUCCCUCGGCUCAACCGAGGAACUGCGCUUCAUACUGCAUGGCUUGAGGGAGACAGGGGUAAGCGGAACUGAUGGUGGAGCGGUGAAAUGCGUUGAUAUCAUCAGGAACACCGGUGGCGAAAGCGGCUUACUGGGUCUCUUCUGACGCUGAGGUACGAAAGCUAGGGGAGCGAACGGG
RNAcentral lists this ribosomal RNA (253 nucleotides) under uncultured bacterium. RNAcentral's name for it is "partial 16S ribosomal RNA". It matches the Rfam family "Bacterial small subunit ribosomal RNA", at positions 524 to 776 of the family's 1533-position model. The record is from RNAcentral.